Molecule: long non-coding RNA, 392 nt
Organism: Chelonia mydas (Green sea turtle)
Lineage: Eukaryota; Metazoa; Chordata; Testudines; Cheloniidae
Exons: 3
Source: RefSeq, a predicted model, not a curated record
GUUGUUUUAUUACCAUUUUCUCUUUUUUCUGAUGAACCCCUUGUUUUUAAGAGGACCGUUGUAUUUGAUAAUUUCACAGACUGCCCCAAAAGAGACAAAAAUCCCUCAAUCUCUAAGUGGGGGUGCUGAAGGCUGGUACUAGUCUGAAAGGGCAUGGAUGGAGGUGUCCUCUCCCAUCACAGAGCACCACAGAUGGCUGCAGCAAACCAACCCAGGGAGAAGCCGAAAGGCCAAGGAGGACACGGCUUCAGUAUGGAUGAAAGUAGACAAGAAUGACAGCCAACAGCCGAUGUGUAACUCCACUGAUGUAUGUAUGCAGUGAAGCAGUAACUCAAGGAACCAACAUAUCAUUUUCUUAAUGGGAUAGAUCUUCUAAGGAAGGCAGCAUGGAA